This is a long non-coding RNA of Choloepus didactylus (southern two-toed sloth), 139 nucleotides long. RefSeq lists it as uncharacterized. Lineage: Eukaryota; Metazoa; Chordata; Mammalia; Pilosa; Megalonychidae. The transcript has 3 exons. The record is from RefSeq and is a predicted model, not a curated record.
UCCUCCUUGGUGCGCAGCACUUGAUUAAGAACAGCCACAAGUCAGAACCACAAGAAAUACAAUGCAGGAAUAACCAUAGGAAAUGGGUUGAAUAAAGCUUUAAUUAAGCACCCAAGUUUUCAUAGCCCUGGUGACUGGC